Rosa rugosa (rugosa rose) is the source of this 610-nucleotide long non-coding RNA. RefSeq lists it as uncharacterized. The transcript is spliced from 3 exons. Lineage: Eukaryota; Viridiplantae; Streptophyta; Magnoliopsida; Rosales; Rosaceae. The record is from RefSeq and is a predicted model, not a curated record.
UAUUCCUUGGGAUGGAUCUGAAGAUAUUGAUGAAGCUGAUGCACAUCACGAGCAUGAUGAUGACAAUGGUGAUAAUGAUGCUGCUCAUGACAAUCGUUCAUUCACAAUUAUCAUACGACAGUCUUAUACUACUCGUUUGCCAGUGCCUGCUAAGUUCCACAAACAUGUUACUAAGAAGCCUGAUACCGCUAACCUGAGUCUUCCCAGUGGGAGGAGAACUUGGCCUAUUUCAUUGAAAUAUGAGGUUUCAACAGAAAGAGUCAGAUUCCAGUCCGGUUGGAGCAAGUUUGUACGAGACAAUCAUUUGAAAGUUGGAGAUGCGUGUGAGUUUGUGUUGACUGAUGAAACUAGACUUUCAUUUGAAGUUCAUAUAGAAGCUGCUAAAUGCACCUUGCCAGAUGAUGAUGAAGCUGAAGAUGAGGGUGAUGACAGUGACAGUGAUUGUGAUGAUGAUGGUGAUUGUGAUGAUGAAUAUCCAUUAGCACCACGACUUCACAAAAGAAAGAGAUCAAGUUCAAGUACCAAAAGCAACAUCGAAGAUGUAGAUGGUUCCACUAGUAAUAAACAAUUCUUGAAACGAAGACUUGCAUGAUGUUCGAAGGAGCAUGAG